CGGGUGGUGGCGCAGCCCGGUAGCGUAUCUGCAUGGGGUGCAGGGGGUCGCUGGUUCGAAUCCAGUCCACCCGA
Molecule: transfer RNA, 74 nt
Filed under: Panacibacter ginsenosidivorans
Lineage: Bacteria; Pseudomonadati; Bacteroidota; Chitinophagia; Chitinophagales; Chitinophagaceae
Also listed under: 2 other names
Rfam family: tRNA
About the family: Transfer RNA (tRNA) molecules are approximately 80 nucleotides in length. Their secondary structure includes four short double-helical elements and three loops (D, anti-codon, and T loops).
Source: Rfam by way of RNAcentral